ACUACGGGAGUCAGCAGUGGGGAAUAUUGCGCAAUGGGCGAAAGCCUGACGCAGCGACGCCGCGUGAGGGAUGAAGGUCUUCGGAUCGUAAACCUCUGUCAGCAGGGAAGAACGGUCACUGUACUAAUCAGCAGUGAAUUGACGGUACCUGCAAAGGAAGCACCGGCUAACGCCGUGCCAGCAGCCGCGGUAAUACGGAGGGUGCGAGCGUUAAUCGGAAUGACUGGGCGUAAAGCGCUCGUGAGCGGUAUGUCAAGUCAAGGGUGAAAUCCCCGCGCUCAACGUGGGAACUGCCUUUGAAGCUGGCAAACUGGAGUGUGUGAGAGGAUAGUGGAAUUCCAGGUGUAGGAGUGAAAUCCGUAGAUAUCUGGAGGAACAUCAGUGGCGAAGGCGACUAUCUGGCACAUAACUGACGCUGAGGAGCGAAAGCGUGGGUAGCAAACAGGAUUAGAUACCCCAGUAGUC
Molecule: ribosomal RNA, 465 nt
Filed under: uncultured bacterium
Lineage: Bacteria
Description: partial 16S ribosomal RNA
Rfam family: Bacterial small subunit ribosomal RNA
Source: RNAcentral